RNAcentral lists this ribosomal RNA (610 nucleotides) under Paradoxodacna piratica. RNAcentral's name for it is "partial large subunit ribosomal RNA". It matches the Rfam family "Bacterial large subunit ribosomal RNA", at positions 1781 to 2585 of the family's 2925-position model. The record is from RNAcentral. Lineage: Eukaryota; Metazoa; Chordata; Actinopteri; Ambassidae.
CGGCAAACACAAGCCUCGCCUGUUUACCAAAAACAUCGCCUCUUGUCCUCCUAAAAUAAGAGGUCCCGCCUGCCCUGUGACUAUAUGUUUAACGGCCGCGGUAUUUUAACCGUGCGAAGGUAGCGCAAUCACUUGUCUUUUAAAUGAAGACCUGUAUGAAUGGCACAACGAGGGCUUAACUGUCUCCCCUUUCCAGUCAAUGAAAUUGAUCUCCCCGUGCAGAAGCGGGGAUACGUACAUAAGACGAGAAGACCCUGUGAAGCUUAAGACAAAAAGUAGCCCAAACUAAGUAUCUCCAACAAAAUGAAUAUAAGCAUUGGACCCUACUUCCAUGUCUUCGGUUGGGGCGACCGCGGAGAAACAAAAAACCCCCAUGUGGAUAAGGAGCAUCACUUACCCUUUUUCCCUCCUACAACUAAGAGCCAUAGCACAAAGUAACAGAACUUUUGACCAAACAUGAUCCGGUUAUACCGAUUAACAAACCAAGUUACUCCAGGGAUAACAGCGCUAUCCCCUUCUAGAGCCCAUAUCGACAAGGGGGUUUACGACCUCGAUGUUGGAUCAGGACAUCCUAAUGGUGCAGCCGCUAUUAAGGGUUCGUUUGUUCAAC